Molecule: ribosomal RNA, 460 nt
Filed under: uncultured bacterium
Lineage: Bacteria
Description: partial 16S ribosomal RNA
Rfam family: Bacterial small subunit ribosomal RNA
Source: RNAcentral
CCUACGGGAGGCAGCAGUGAGGAAUAUUGGUCAAUGGGCGCGAGCCUGAACCAGCCAAGUCGCGUGAGGGAGGACGGCCCUACGGGUUGUAAACCUCUUUUGCCGGGGAGCAACGGGCGCCACGUGUGGCGUCACUGAGAGUACCCGGAGAAAAAGCAUCGGCUAACUCCGUGCCAGCAGCCGCGGUAAUACGGAGGAUGCGAGCGUCAUCCGGAUUGAUUGGGUUUAAAGGGGGCGUAGGCGGAUUGUUAAGUCAGGGGUCAAAUUGAGGGGGUCAACCCCUGCCCGCCAUUGAAACUGGCGUUCUUGAGUGGAAGAGAAGUAUGCGGAAUGCGUGGUGUAGCGGUGAAAUGCAUAGAUAUCACGCAGAACCCCGAUUGCGAAGGCAGCAUGCCGGCUUCCGACUGACGCUGAAGCACGAAAGCGUGGGGAUCGAACAGGAUUAGAUACCCCAGUAGUC